UACAACACUAUGGGAUCAGAGGGA
RNAcentral lists this non-coding RNA (24 nucleotides) under Arabidopsis thaliana (thale cress). The record is from RNAcentral. Lineage: Eukaryota; Viridiplantae; Streptophyta; Magnoliopsida; Brassicales; Brassicaceae.